Molecule: ribosomal RNA, 647 nt
Filed under: Arthrobacter sp.
Lineage: Bacteria; Bacillati; Actinomycetota; Actinomycetes; Micrococcales; Micrococcaceae
Description: bacterial SSU rRNA
Rfam family: Bacterial small subunit ribosomal RNA
Source: RNAcentral
ACGGGUGAGUAACACGUGAGUAACCUGCCCCCGACUCUGGGAUAAGCCUGGGAAACYGGGUCUAAUACUGGAUAUGACCACCAACCGCAUGGUGGGGGGUGGAAACUAUCUCUCGGUGGGGGAUGGACUCGCGGCCUAUCAGCUUGAUGGUGAGGUAAUGGCUCACCAAGGCGACGACGGGUAGCCGGCCUGAGAGGGUGACCGGCCACACUGGGACUGAGACACGGCCCAGACUCCUACGGGAGGCAGCAGUGGGGAAUAUUGCACAAUGGGGGAAAGCCUGAUGCAGCGACGCCGCGUGAGGGAUGACGGCCUUCGGGUUGUAAACCUCUUUCAGUAGGGAAGAAGNGAAAGUGACAUUACCUGCAGAAGAAGCACCGGCUAACUACGUGCCAGCAGCCGCGGUAAUACGUAGGGCGCAAGCGUUAUCCGGAUUUAUUGGGCGUAAAGAGCUCGUAGGCGGUUUGUUGCGUCUGCCGUGAAAGUCCGRGGCUCAACCUCGGAUCUGCAGUGGGUACGGGCAGACUAGAGUGAUGUAGGGGAGAGUGGAAUUCCUGGUGUAGCGGUGAAAUGCGCAGAUAUCAGGAGGAACACCGAUGGCGAAGGCAGGUCUCUGGGCUUUAACUGACGCUGAGGAGCGAAAGCNU